This 73-nucleotide transfer RNA is filed under the name Teleaulax amphioxeia. Its description in RNAcentral is "tRNA-His". It matches the Rfam family "tRNA". From Rfam's summary of the family: Transfer RNA (tRNA) molecules are approximately 80 nucleotides in length. Their secondary structure includes four short double-helical elements and three loops (D, anti-codon, and T loops). The record is from RNAcentral. Lineage: Eukaryota; Cryptophyceae; Pyrenomonadales; Geminigeraceae.
GCGGGUAUGGCCAAGUGGUUAAGGCAGUGGGUUGUGGUUCCACUAUUCGCGGGUUCGAUUCCCGUUACUCGCC